GAUGAACGCUGGCGGCGUGCCUAAUACAUGCAAGUCGAGCGAACAGACGAGGCGCUUGCUCCUCUGACGUUUGCGGCGCACGGGUGAGUAACACGUGGAUAACCUACCUAUAAGACUGGGAUAAUUUCGGGAAACCGGAGCUAAUCCCGGAUAAUAUAUUGAACCGCAUGGUUCAAUAGUGAAAGACGGCUUUGCUGUAACUUAUAGCUGGAUCUGCGCCGCAUUAGCUAGUUGGUAAGGUAACGGCUUACCAAGGCAAGGAUGCGUAGCCGACGUGGGAGGGGGGUAGGCCACACGGGAGCGGAGACAGCGUCCAUGCUCCUGCGGGAGGGAGCAGUAGGGUAUCUGCCGCAGUGGGCGAAAGCCUGGCGGAGCGACGCGGCGUGAGUGAUGAAGGUCUUCGGAUCGUAAAACUCUGUUAUUAGGGAAGAACAAAUGUGUAAGUAGCUAUGCACGGCUUGACGGUACCGAGUCAGAAAGCCACGGCUAACUACGUG
This 497-nucleotide ribosomal RNA is filed under the name uncultured bacterium. RNAcentral's name for it is "partial 16S ribosomal RNA". It matches the Rfam family "Bacterial small subunit ribosomal RNA", at positions 28 to 507 of the family's 1533-position model. The record is from RNAcentral.